Molecule: ribosomal RNA, 369 nt
Filed under: uncultured bacterium
Lineage: Bacteria
Description: bacterial SSU rRNA
Rfam family: Bacterial small subunit ribosomal RNA
Source: RNAcentral
AACGAACGCUGGCGGCAGGCCUAACACAUGCAAGUCGAACGCUCCGCAAGGGGAGUGGCGCACGGGUGAGUAACACGUGGGAACCUACCUUCUGGUACGGAACAACCAAGGGAAACUUUGCUAAGACCGUAUACGACCUCCGGGUGAAAGAUUGAUCGCCGGAAGAGGGGCCCGCGUCCGAUUAGGUAGUUGGUGAGGUAACGGCUCACCAAGCCUUCGAUCGGUAGCUGGUCUGAGAGGAUGACCAGCCACACUGGGACUGAGACACGGCCCACGACUCCUACGGGAGGCAGCAGUGGGGAAUAUUUGGACAAUGGGCGCAAGCCUGAUCCAGCCAUGCCGCGUGAGUGAUGAAGGCCUUCGGUUGUU